UACAGAGGUGGCAAGCGUUGUUCGGAAUUACUGGGCGUAAAGCGCGCGUAGGCGGUUUGAUAAGUCGGAUGUGAAAGCCCCGGGCUUAACCUGGGAAUUGCAUUCGAUACUGUCAGGCUCGAGUCUAGGAGAGGGAAGCGGAAUUCCGGGUGUAGCGGUGAAAUGCGUAGAUAUCCGGAGGAACAUCAGUGGCGAAGGCGGCUUCCUGGCCUAAGACUGACGCUGAGGUGCGAAAGCGUGGGGAGCAAACAGG
This 253-nucleotide ribosomal RNA is filed under the name uncultured bacterium. Its description in RNAcentral is "partial 16S ribosomal RNA". It matches the Rfam family "Bacterial small subunit ribosomal RNA", at positions 524 to 776 of the family's 1533-position model. The record is from RNAcentral.